RNAcentral lists this ribosomal RNA (709 nucleotides) under Clostridioides difficile. RNAcentral describes it as "partial 23S ribosomal RNA". It matches the Rfam family "Bacterial large subunit ribosomal RNA", at positions 662 to 1379 of the family's 2925-position model. Lineage: Bacteria; Bacillati; Bacillota; Clostridia; Peptostreptococcales; Peptostreptococcaceae. The record is from RNAcentral.
GGAGCCGUAGCGAAAGCGAGUUUUAACUGAGCGUUCAGUUACUUGACGUAGACCCGAAACCGGGCGACCUACCCAUGAGCAGGAUGAAGCGAAAGUAAAAUUUCGUGGAGGUCCGAACCCACGAGCGUUGAAAAGCUCGGGGAUGACUUGUGGGUAGCGGUGAAAUUCCAAUCGAGCCCGGAGAUAGCUGGUUCUCCCCGAAAUAGCUUUAGGGCUAGCCUCAAGGUGAGAGAUACGGAGGUAGAGCACUGAAUGUCCUAGGGGGUAUUGCACCUACCGAAGACUAUCAAACUCCGAAUGCCGUCAUCUUAUACUUGGGAGUCAGACUGUGGGUGAUAAGAUUCAUAGUCGAAAGGGCAACAGCCCAGAUCGUCAGCUAAGGUCCCUAAAUGUAAGUUAAGUGGUAAAGGAUGUGGGAUUGCACAGACAACCAGGAUGUUGGCUUAGAAGCAGCCACUCAUUCAAAGAGUGCGUAAUAGCUCACUGGUCGAGUGAUCCUGCGCCGAAGAUUUCCGGGGCUAAAACUUACUACCGAAGCUACGGCAUCAGUAAUGAUGGGUAGGGGAGCUUCCCAUACGGGUUGAAGCAUGACCGUAAGGACAUGUGGACAGUAUGGGAGUGAGAAUGUUGGCAUGAGUAGCGAGAUGUGGGUGAGAAUCCCACAGGCCGUAAACCCAAGGUUUCCAGGGGAAGGUUCGUCCGCCCUGGG